UAUUAAGUUGGUGCAAAAGUAAUUGCGGUUUUUGCCAUUAUUUUUAGUGGUAAAAACCGCAAUUACUUUUGCACCAAUCUAAUAC
RNAcentral lists this microRNA precursor (85 nucleotides) under Rhinopithecus roxellana (golden snub-nosed monkey). Its description in RNAcentral is "miRNA (ENSRROG00000015713.1)". It matches the Rfam family "mir-548 microRNA precursor family". Lineage: Eukaryota; Metazoa; Chordata; Mammalia; Primates; Cercopithecidae. The record is from RNAcentral.